Long non-coding RNA from Cyprinus carpio carpio, 485 nucleotides. NCBI's taxonomy places the organism in Eukaryota, Metazoa, Chordata, Actinopteri, Cypriniformes, Cyprinidae. The record is from Ensembl.
CUCCAACCCAAGACUUCACCACAGCAGAGGAGCUGGCCCUGGACUUAAAUAAAGGGAAGCCAGUGAUUGAAGGGAUCCAGGGAGGGACAGCCACUGCCUCUGGCCCAGCAAGGGAUACUGGCCUCCUCAUACAAGUGGCUGGUAACACCCUUACACUUUUGGAGCCACCAGACUAUAAUUCAUCGAGGGAAGCCACAUCUACAGCAGUGGAGUGCACUUCUGCUGAUGAUGAGACCGUGUCGCUGGACUCCAGAAGGCUCGAGGAUCCUGACAUUGGGCAGCCUGGCAACAUAGUGAGUAUUGCCUACAGUAAAUUUACAUUAUGCAAAAAUUCUGCAAUGCUAACUAAAAGGUGUUCACAGAAUUCACAAACUGUCAGAUAUCUCUACACAACGCAUCUUAAGAGACAUAUCAAGCUGACAGAAGUCAAGAUUGAUGUGAACAAAAGAAAGCUGCAGGACAUGGACCUUGAGAUGAAAAUUUAA